GGUAUCGAGACAGCAUCAUCCAACGGGUUCGGCUCCCCAGUGAACCCGCCCACGCAGUAGGAGGACCCUAGAAGGGGAUAUAAACACAGGAGCCGGAAGCAGGGGGCAGUCCCUUAUUCAGCCUUAGCUUAGCUCACCUCCGUGGCGAGGAAAAAGUGCCUACUUUAAGAAUGUAGUUGUUAGCAAUAAUUACCUGAGCAACCAAUUCCGCUGUCCGGGUGCUCUGUUGAUCGUAUUCCCUAUCCUAAGGAAUUCCCUAAUCCAAGGGGGUUAGGGCCGGAGACGUCCGAAGACCGGGAAAGUUUUUUCCCCUCAGCUUGAUGUAAUGUGAAUAUUUGGGCUGAGAUUGUUACCAUCCCUGCUUGAUUUGUUUAUUCAGCAUACCUGGCACAUUCUGCUGGUCUUUAUCAAGUAUGCAGUCCCAAGAUGGCAACCUUCUUGGGACCAGGGAUGGGGGUCUUAUUUAUCUUUGAAUAUCCCACACCUGCUCAAGUGCCUUGAAUAAAGACUUCUCCCUCAAGAGAACUUGUAACUACAUGUGUCCUCUCUAGAAGCCAGAAGAACUAGGAUCUCUCCUCUCCAGAGAUCUUCCUAACUUCACUCCUCACACAGGCUUGGAGCAUCGAGUAAUCAUUCUCCACUAAUGAGGAGACCUUUAUUCAAAUGAGCUUGAGAUGUUUCCUCCAGUUUACUUUAGACACUUUGGAGAUAUUUGCCGGAAAAACAAAUGUUUACAACUGGAGUUAACAAUUGGGCUGGUAAGAUGAGAUUUCCAGAAACUCAUCAUUUUGCAAGACCACAUCAACCUUGAAACUCAAUCUUAUCUGGAAUCUGUGCCCCUGAGGCCCAUUUCUCCUUCUCUCUGAGUGUGGACAAUGGACAUUGGAGAGCUCUUUCUGGAUUCUUCAUUCAAGAGGGGCACUUAGGGCAACCAUCACAUCAUCUCCAUCUGGUUGCACUCCUCUGAACUUCAUGCCACCUAAGACCUUCCCUUUCCCCCCACCCUUUUCACCUUCUUUUUAUGUAUUGUUU
Molecule: non-coding RNA, 1032 nt
Organism: Phascolarctos cinereus (koala)
Lineage: Eukaryota; Metazoa; Chordata; Mammalia; Diprotodontia; Phascolarctidae
Source: RefSeq, a predicted model, not a curated record